Molecule: non-coding RNA, 26 nt
Filed under: Homo sapiens (human)
Lineage: Eukaryota; Metazoa; Chordata; Mammalia; Primates; Hominidae
Source: RNAcentral
UAGUGGCCCCUGAAACACAGCUCAUG